This is a long non-coding RNA of Pongo pygmaeus (Bornean orangutan), 1339 nucleotides long. RefSeq lists it as uncharacterized. The record is from RefSeq and is a predicted model, not a curated record. The transcript has 9 exons. Lineage: Eukaryota; Metazoa; Chordata; Mammalia; Primates; Hominidae.
UUAAGCUGCGGCUUGACGGGAGCCGCGCCUCCUGUCGGUGGAGUCGGUUAUAAAGGGAGCAGCCCCCCAGGCCGCCACACAGCUCCCGCCAAGUCCUCGGUGUCCCUUGCCAUUUUCCAGCCGCGCUCCCACGAGGGUCAUGGCGGCGGGGAGAGGUGGAGCCGCGAGAGCUCGGCCGGGGGCCCCGCCGGGUGGUCGCGGCCAUGACAGCGGCUCGGGACCGGUUCCUUUUCCGCGCCCCUCCCGCCUGAGAUGAGGGGAAGAUGUCCCUGUCAGCGUUCAAGGCCAAACUGAAGUUGCCGGCCUCUAUCUUCCACGAGAACCAGGAGCCACAGCCGCGGCUCACGCUGCACCGCAACAUCAAGAUUACAAGUGGACACCUGAGUCAGCAGGACCUGGAAUCCCAGAUGAGAGAGAGCUUAUCUACAUGGACUCAGAUCUUGUUGUCACCCCCAUUAACGACAAUCCAAAGGUAACGAAAAAACCACCAUCAGUUAAAUUUGAUCCAAAAAUAUUGCAUCUACCAGCAUUUUCAGACGGGCCAACGUUGCUUGGGUGAUUGGUUUACUGGCUUCUCACACAACUGAGCUCCAGGAAAAUACACCUGUUGUUGAGGCUGGAGUGCAAUGGUGUGAUCUCAGCUCACUGCAACCUCUGCCUCUUGGGUUCAAGCGAUUUUCUUGCCUCAGCCUCCCCAGUAGCUGGGAUUACAGGCAUAACUAAAGGUGGAAGGAUAGAAUCACAGUGUGUUACUGGCACAGGUGCAUCGGCUAGUGAAGAAAGAAGACAUUCAAAAUGUAUGUAUUGGGUGGAGGAGCAUUAUGUAUUGAACUUCUCACAGAACAGGGCUGAAGCAGUGCCUACUCGACAGAACCAGUCAUCAUGCAAAGAAAAGCCACCUGACUCAAAGGCAAAGCCAGAGUGCAGCUUGGAGGAAAGAAGGAGAAACUAACAAUGAAAAUGGACUUGUUGACAGAAGAAAAGUAGGAAUGCAGCCUCUGGUGCUGUUUGAGUGAUCCCUCUGCCCCAGGCCUGGCUGUGUGCUGCUGUGUUCUGGUAAGGUGCAUUGUAACCUUUCUGCGGCAGGUAAGAGUCCUGUACAGGUGCUCUGCCCACUUUACCUUUCAGGCUUCUGUAUCAGCUGUUUUUCCCUUGUAGAAUGUGCCUCUGACCUGUGCCCCUGACUUCCACCCCUUAACCCUACCCAAAACAUCUUUACAUGUCUGACCAUCAAGCCUCUUCUGGGUCAUAUUCAGUUCAUGCUGAUAUUUUCCCUUCCUCCCUUCUUUAGUCCUUACUGUUUUUGCUUUGGUCAUGUUAUGCUAUAUUCCGUAAGCCU